This 385-nucleotide ribosomal RNA is filed under the name Phylloporus luxiensis. RNAcentral describes it as "partial large subunit ribosomal RNA". It matches the Rfam family "Eukaryotic large subunit ribosomal RNA", at positions 118 to 497 of the family's 3401-position model. Lineage: Eukaryota; Fungi; Basidiomycota; Agaricomycetes; Boletales; Boletaceae. The record is from RNAcentral.
GAAUCUGGCGGUCUUUGUGGGCGUCCGAGUUGUAAUCUAGAGAAGCGUGUUCCGCGCUGGACCGUGUACAAGUCUCCUGGAAGGGAGCGUCAUAGAGGGUGAGAAUCCCGUCUUUGACACGGACUGCCAGUGCUAUGUGAUGCGCUCUCGACGAGUCGAGUUGUUUGUGAAUGCAGCUCAAAAUGGGUGGUAAAUUCCAUCUAAAGCUAAAUACUGGCGAGAGACCGAUAGCGAACAAGUACCGUGAGGGAAAGAUGAAAAGAACUUUGGAAAGAGAGUUAAACAGUACGUGAAAUUGCUGAAAGGGAAACGCUUGAUGUCAGUCGCGUUCGCCAGGGAUCAACCUUGCGUUUAUUGCUCGGUGCAUUUCUUGGUUGGACGGGUC